GCUGAAGAGAGGCAGCUUUAUGCACAGGUCGCACAAGCUAUUGGCACGGAGGCGGCAGCAGAGGUUACCCCCUCACCAGCACCUCAACUCCUAUUUCUUGGUGCCAGAAGGGUGAUGCCUAUUUUGCACUUUCAGGAAUCCAAAACAAAGUUAAUCUGAUCAACGGGGAUCAAUAGAAAAGUCUACAAGCUGAAAACAAGUAAAUGGGAGUCUGCACCCGUGUGAGCUGGCCACCUCUGGAAGCAAUGUCAGCCAGUUCUUCAGCCUCCUGUGCCUUCACAUGGAAUGCCGAUAGUGGACUGGGCUGCAGAGGGCCCUUCUGUGGAUUUUUGGGGCUGAGGAAUGCAUAAGACAAGGCGGACCAGGUCCACCACCGUGAAUCACAAAUGGUUGGUUCAUCAGAAGGUGCAGUAUUGGACAGAAGACAGGAUGCAAAGAGGGGCCCUCCGGCUCGUGCUAAGGCAGCAAACCAGGCUGGCCAAAAGAGAGCAUGAAGGACUCUGAUUAUGCUGCAGCUGAUGUCAGUGCUUUUAUGGACAGGAGGAGGAGGAUGAUUUCACUCUCUACAUUUCUGUCUACCUCACAGGCUUGCAAAAAUGUAACGUGCAGUAGGACCCCUGUUGUCACUCACCAUUAACUUGUUCGGGGUGAAAAGAAUGAUUUCUUAGUAGUUUUCUCCUGACUUCUUCUACCUCUUCCCCUAAUUUCCUUACUUCAUAUUCAAUUAGAUUCUAGUUGUCAAAGAAAAUUAAUAUUAAAUAUUUAUAUGCAAUAUUUUCUGUUCCAUAUCUCUUACAGAAGGAAUUGAGGAUUGAUUGA
Molecule: long non-coding RNA, 819 nt
Organism: Chroicocephalus ridibundus (black-headed gull)
Lineage: Eukaryota; Metazoa; Chordata; Aves; Charadriiformes; Laridae
Exons: 4
Source: RefSeq, a predicted model, not a curated record